GUGCCAGCAGCCGCGGUAAUACGAAGGGGGCUAGCGUUGCUCGGAAUCACUGGGCGUAAAGCGCACGUAGGCGGAUGUGUCAGUCAGGGGUGAAAUCCUGGAGCUCAACUCCAGAACUGCCUUUGAUACUGGAGAGCUAGAGUCCGGAAGAGGUGAGUGGAACUGCGAGUGUAGAGGUGAAAUUCGUAGAUAUUCGCAAGAACACCAGUGGCGAAGGCGGCUCACUGGUCCGGUACUGACGCUGAGGUGCGAAAGCGUGGGGAGCAAACAGGAUUAGAUACCCCGGUAGUCC
RNAcentral lists this ribosomal RNA (292 nucleotides) under uncultured bacterium. RNAcentral's name for it is "partial 16S ribosomal RNA". It matches the Rfam family "Bacterial small subunit ribosomal RNA", at positions 505 to 796 of the family's 1533-position model. The record is from RNAcentral.